AUGCAGUGCAUAGUGAAGGAAUUCGGACACAACUUCUACACUCAAUUGAACCCAGCUGUCAGCUAUUACCUCAUCUCCUGCUCCAGUAUUUAUGGUGGCUACCUUCCAGAAUUCAUCGCCAGUUCAUUUCCCUCAACGGUGCAGUACCUGUUUGUAUCACUGUGGUACACGUUUGGUGGAGGAACCAGACUGGAUCUUGGAAGUGAUGUCCGUCCCAAACUGACAGUGCUGUCCCCCUCCAUGCAUGAGGGGAAGGCCACACUCCUGUGUCUGGCCAACAAUGGCUUCCCUUCAGGCUGGACUCUGUCCUGGAAGGUGGGCGGCAGCAGCAUCAGCAGCAGCUGGGAGGAGAGCAGGAGCCCCGGGGUGCUGCAGAAGGACGGCCUCUACAGCUGGAGCAGCACCCUGAGGCUCCCUGCAGACCAGUGGGAGAAGCUGGACUCUGUGACCUGUGAGGCCACCCAGGACUCCCAGACUCCAGUCCCAGAGACUCUGUGGAGAAACCAGUGUUCCUAGUCACCACCUGACUGACUGGAACAAUAUUAUUGUGUUUUUGCUUUUACUGAGAUUUCAGCUGCAUUGAUGUUUUAAUCUUCUUUCUUUGUAUGCUAAAAAAAACAUUUUUAUUAGAAGUUACUUGUUUGAUACUUUAUGCAAAAUAAAAAAUACUCUUUGAA
Non-coding RNA from Oryzias latipes (Japanese medaka), 677 nucleotides. NCBI's taxonomy places the organism in Eukaryota, Metazoa, Chordata, Actinopteri, Beloniformes, Adrianichthyidae. The record is from the annotation of a RefSeq genome assembly.